UUUAGACCGUGAUGAAUGGUCACCCUGGU
This 29-nucleotide non-coding RNA is filed under the name Rattus norvegicus (Norway rat). The record is from RNAcentral. Lineage: Eukaryota; Metazoa; Chordata; Mammalia; Rodentia; Muridae.